AUGUACCACGCGAACACUGCGGUUCCUCCGCGCCGUCCGCACCCACUUGGCGACUGUUCGCUACGUUGGUUAGCC
This 75-nucleotide small RNA is filed under the name Xanthomonas fragariae. RNAcentral describes it as "sX9 sRNA". It matches the Rfam family "Xanthomonas sRNA sX9". The record is from RNAcentral. Lineage: Bacteria; Pseudomonadati; Pseudomonadota; Gammaproteobacteria; Lysobacterales; Lysobacteraceae.